UCUCCGUAGGUGAACCUGCGGAGGGAUCAUUACUGAGUGUGGGCAUCGGUCCGACCUCCAACCCUUUGUGAACCAAACUUGUUGCUUCGGGGGCGACCCUGCCGCUGCGGGGGUGCGGCGCCCCCGGAGGCCAUUAAACACUGCAUCAUUGCGUCGGAGUUAAAGUAAAUUAAACAAAACUUUCAACAACGGAUCUCUUGGUUCCAGCAUCGAUGAAGAACGCAGC
This 226-nucleotide unclassified non-coding RNA is filed under the name uncultured fungus. Its description in RNAcentral is "sequence contains ITS1, 5.8S rRNA gene". The stretch from base 178 to 226 matches the Rfam family "5.8S ribosomal RNA", at positions 1 to 49 of the family's 154-position model. Lineage: Eukaryota; Fungi. The record is from RNAcentral.